CAGCCAAGUCGUGAGGCGGAGCUAAUCCCUUAAAGCCAUUCUCAGUUCGGACUGUAGGCUGAAACUCGCCUACAUGAAGCUGGAGUUACUAGUAAUCGCAGAUCAGAAUGCUGCGGUGAAUGCGUUCCCGGGUCUUGUACACACCGCCCGUCACACCACGGAAGUUGGGGGCGCCCGAAGCCACUUAGCUAACCCUUUUGGGAAGCGAGUGUCGAAGGUGAAAUCAAUAACUGGGUGAAGUCGUAACAAGGUACC
This 255-nucleotide ribosomal RNA is filed under the name uncultured bacterium. Its description in RNAcentral is "partial 16S ribosomal RNA". It matches the Rfam family "Bacterial small subunit ribosomal RNA", at positions 1247 to 1500 of the family's 1533-position model. The record is from RNAcentral.